Hermetia illucens (black soldier fly) is the source of this 480-nucleotide long non-coding RNA. RefSeq lists it as uncharacterized. NCBI's taxonomy places the organism in Eukaryota, Metazoa, Arthropoda, Insecta, Diptera, Stratiomyidae. The transcript has 3 exons. The record is from RefSeq and is a predicted model, not a curated record.
GUUUUGAUGUCUAAAGUAAUUAUAAGUUCACAAUUCAAUAAGAGAAACCCAAUGAAGAUUUCUGCAUGAAUAAGCUCCCAAAUUGGGUUAUUCAGGAAAUGUAGUUACUCCUUUGAGGAAUCAGACAUUUAUUUGCAAAGACCACUAUCCCAGUUAUUAGUUGUACUUUGGCAUACCGUAUCGGUACAAUGAUACAUAUUUGCAUUGCAGAAAACUGUAUCAUUUCAAUGGGGGAAAUCGUAGUUCGGUUGAUCUAGGAGUUAGGCUAAGAUUUUCAUGUUCCCACGACUCUAUUUGUAUCCUAAUAAACACCAACAGAGAUAGUAAUCAGACAUGGAAUCAACGAAGGCAGCUUCUAAGCUCGCUGCGAUUUUGUUUGGCAUUGAAUUUGUUGAUCCAUCUCUUUCCUAAAAGCAAAUACAAAUACCAAGUCAAACAAUAUGAAAUAUGAGUCAUUUAAUGAAUUUUGAAGGCACUUUA